This is a long non-coding RNA of Octopus sinensis (East Asian common octopus), 504 nucleotides long. RefSeq lists it as uncharacterized. The transcript is spliced from 2 exons. Lineage: Eukaryota; Metazoa; Mollusca; Cephalopoda; Octopoda; Octopodidae. The record is from RefSeq and is a predicted model, not a curated record.
CACAUAUAUACACUCACACAUACAUACACACACGUAUAUACGCUCACACAUACACACACAUAUACACAUUCAUAUACAUACAUACACAUAUACAUUCAUACAUACCUACACGUGCAUGUCAGUGCUUCACCUUUCCUUUCUAAGAGAGAAAAACAUAUUCCGGUUCUGUCCACGCCUUUUUAUUUUAUUUAUAUGAGUCAAAGAACUAGACAACAACGAGCAAAAAAAACGUGUCUAUUUUAUUUUUAACCUCCCCAUAUCAUUCAUUACAUAUCGCUUAGUUCGCUUCUCGAAGCUAAGUCUGUCUGUUCGACCACCACUCAUGUUCACACUGCUGACAACAACGACGACAUCCACAACCACCCUCCUUCAACGCAAUGGCUAUUCUUUGCAAUAACAGAGCCUAACAGAAUCAUCACCAUGAGAGUGUCUGUCAAGUUUAUUAUUUGUGGCUCCCUGAUAUUCUGUGUGAUCUUCUUCAGCUGGUUUCGGUGUCCCAACAUA